UGUCGUGUGAGCUGGCGUAUUCGCAGGCCUCGACCGUAAACCCCCUAUACGACGGGCCGAAAGCUGAGGCUGAGGCGUCUAAGCUUGCCGGGCUCUUCGCCUCCGAACCAUGAGUGGCCGUCCCUUGGGGCUGGCGGUCGUGGGGCGGCCUCCGUAGGGAGGCUUGCCAUCGCGUUUACCAGGCGAACUUGGCCAGGCCCGGGAGGGAGCAACCUAAGCCUGGACGUUCAGCGCUCAAGGGGGCGCGGGCAUGAGCCAGGAGGCGGAUACGGCUCGGCAAAAACUGGGCGCCGAACCUCAGGACCCGCCG
RNAcentral lists this signal recognition particle RNA (310 nucleotides) under Candidatus Bathyarchaeota archaeon. RNAcentral's name for it is "signal recognition particle sRNA". It matches the Rfam family "Archaeal signal recognition particle RNA". Lineage: Archaea; Thermoproteati; Candidatus Bathyarchaeota. The record is from RNAcentral.